Molecule: non-coding RNA, 163 nt
Organism: Camellia sinensis
Lineage: Eukaryota; Viridiplantae; Streptophyta; Magnoliopsida; Ericales; Theaceae
Source: RefSeq, a predicted model, not a curated record
UUCAAUCUGCAAAUCGCGAUAGGAAAAAUCUUCCUCAUAUCCAGCCGGUGAAUAUGAGUACAUAGAUGUGAUUGUGGAAGGAGAGAGAGUGUUGAUAGACAUAGAUUUCAGAUCCGAGUUUGAGAUAGCUUGAUCAACCGGAGGCUACAAAUCAAUCCUCCAA